RNAcentral lists this ribosomal RNA (1926 nucleotides) under Trichoderma cornu-damae. RNAcentral's name for it is "large subunit ribosomal RNA". It matches the Rfam family "Bacterial large subunit ribosomal RNA", at positions 1 to 2250 of the family's 2925-position model. Lineage: Eukaryota; Fungi; Ascomycota; Sordariomycetes; Hypocreales; Hypocreaceae. The record is from RNAcentral.
UGAUAUAUAACUAUUACUUAUAAAUAUAUAAGUAUAUAAAGAAACUAUUAUGGAAUUUAAGCUAUGUAUUAAAGAGAAUUAUUUAUAUAUAUAGGACAUUUCUCCUAUAAUUAUAUGAACUCUAAGAGAAAUUUUGUAAUAAACGAAGUGAAUUGAAAUAUCUUAGUAACUUUAGGAAAAUAAAUCAAAAGAGAUUCUAUUAAUAGCGUGAGCGAAAGUAGAGAAGCCUAAUAAGUAAAACGGUUUAAAACUGUUUGAAUAUUAUGGGGAACCUUCCUCAAAGGCUAAAUAUAAUACAUAAGCGAUAGUGAAAAGUACCAUGAGGGAAAUAAAAUCAAAAUAGUAGUUUUAUAAGCAGUUCGAAGUAAAGAACGUACCUUUUGCAUAAUGGGUCACCAAGUUAACGUUAGAUGCGAGAUAACACGUAGUUAAACCGAACGUUAAAAUAACGAUAUAGUGUCUAAAGUUAGACCCGAAGCCUGGUGAUUUUACCAUAGUCAGGAUUAUCAAAGUCCGAACCGGUGAUUGUAGCAAAAAUCUCGGAAGAACUGUGGUAGGUGUAGUGAAAGACAACACUGACUAGGAUAGCUGGUUUUCUGCGAAACCUAUAAUAGUAGGCAGUUUAAGUGAAUAUCUUAGCAGGUACAGAAUUUAAUCUCAGACAAGACAUUUUUUAAUGUUUUAUUUUGUACAAAUUGGGGGAUCAUGAAGAUUUUAUCAGUGAGUAUGUAGACUCGGAAUGGUAAAGAUAUAUCUUAAACUAUCAGACAUAGAAUGAUAAGGUUGUAUGUCGAAAGGGAAACAGCCCAGAACAAGAGUUAAGGUUCCUAAAUUAUUUGUUAAGUGAAAAUAAGAAGGUUUUUAUUUAAGUCGACAAGGAGAUAGGCUUAGAAGCAGCCAUAAUUUUAUGACCUCGUAACAGAGCGCUUGUUAAGUUAUAAAAGCGUCGAAAAUAUAACGGAUCUAAACAAUAUACCGAAACCUUGUCCAUAAUAUAUUAUAAUAAAUAUAUUUAUUGUAAUUAAAUGGGGUAGCAGAACGUUGAGCUAAAGUAUGAGUUUUAUUUUUUAAAUAAAAUUAUAAUAAUUUAACUCAAGUGAGAAUGGUGACAUGAGUAACUAAAAGAAAAUUUUCCGCCUUAAGCUUAUGGAUAUAAUUAAGUAACGGCCUCUAAGUUUACAUAAUCUAAAGAUUUAAACGAUGAGAAAAUCUUUAUUACUAAAAACAACAUUUUGGUGCAAAAUGUGCUGGAAAAAUAGUAAUAUAUUUGUUCUUAAAGAACAAAUAAAAUAACCGUACCUAGAAUCUGAAACAAGUAAGCUAGUAGAGAAUACGAAGGCGUAAAUGAGCUAACAAUCAUAAAGGAACUCGGCAAAUUGACUACCGUAACUUCGGAAUAAGGAGGGCUCAUUAUUCUUGAUGGAUAUCAAGUAAAGAGGAAGAAGCAUGAAAUAAUGUUGUACGACUGUUUAAUUAAAACACAGCACUUUGCUGAAAGAUUAAAAAUCUAAGUAUAAAGUGUGAUAUCUGCCCGGUGCCGGCUGGUUAACAGAUAUAAUUGAAUAUACUAAUAUUUGAUGUAGACGGAAACCCCGGUUAAAGGCGGCCUUAACGUGAGGGUCCUAAGGUAGCGAAAUGCCUUGGCCGUUAAAUGCGGUCUUGCAUGAAUGGUGUAACGAUACAACAGCUGUCUCUAUGAUUGACUCAGUGAAAUUGGAAUAGCUGUGCAGAUACAGCUUACCUCUAGUUAGACGAGAAGACCCUAUGCAGCUUUACUGUCACUAAUUAUAGAGUAUGAUAAACGAUUUUCAGAAUAUAAGGUAAUUGACAAAUAUGAUAAUGAGAAACCUUUAUUCUUUUUUCAUAUGAAUGAAUUGGUUUAGGAUUAUGAGUAUUUUAUAAUUAAUUUUAUGGAUCUAGCUUAUG